Molecule: unclassified non-coding RNA, 138 nt
Filed under: uncultured Berkleasmium
Lineage: Eukaryota; Fungi; Ascomycota
Description: sequence contains ITS1
Source: RNAcentral
UCGAGGGGGCUUGCCCCCGUCAAGAUACCACCCUUUGCCUUUGAGUACCGUCUGUUUCCUCGGUAGGCUCGCCUGCCAAUGGGGACCACAACCAAACCUUUGUAUCUGCAGUAAACGUUUUUUAAAUAAAGAAAAUUA